Mus musculus (house mouse) is the source of this 384-nucleotide long non-coding RNA. RefSeq annotates it as RIKEN cDNA 5730408K05 gene. The transcript has a single exon. NCBI's taxonomy places the organism in Eukaryota, Metazoa, Chordata, Mammalia, Rodentia, Muridae. The record is from RefSeq and is marked validated.
CUUUCCAAGGGUGGUUUUCACGUGAGUCUUGAUUUUGUCUUUAUAUGCGAGGGAACUACUGGGAACUGGGCCUGACUUUGUAGAUCCUCCUUUUCUUGGCGGGGACCGGGCGUGCGGUCCCGCUCCCCGUAAUGUACGGAGGUAGAAGAAAGGGCUCUGGCCCUCUCGGCGUUAUGUCUUCGGUGCUUGCGGCUUCCCGUUCGCGGGUUCUAUCCUCAGACGCCGGAACACUUAACCGUGCAGAAAUGUAGCUAGGUCCCGCAGUCCCCUCUGGGUUACUCAACGCUUUUUAUUUUAUUUUAGGUCGACAUUGACGCUCCCGGAGUGAUGGUUAACAUUUUCUUUGCUGUUUAUUAUUGAAUCAAUAAAGUCUGUGAACCCUAA